RNAcentral lists this long non-coding RNA (910 nucleotides) under Vulpes vulpes (red fox). Its description in RNAcentral is "lncRNA (ENSVVUG00000008705.1)". The record is from RNAcentral. Lineage: Eukaryota; Metazoa; Chordata; Mammalia; Carnivora; Canidae.
CCAUCCACAGUGACUUUCUUCUAUUGGCUCAGGCAGUCAUGAACAAACAUGAUCUGAAGGGCCAACAGAGGAGCUCAGGUAAAUGUAAGGAUGUAGUUCGUGAUACCAGAGUUUUUAUGGAUGGUAAUACAGUGUGGGGUAGUUCUUUUCCCUGAAGAUUUCUUGCAGACAGCAAAUGUCAUCCACCUUAGAUGGAGUGGCUGGAGAUCAGAGGGAUGUAACUGGGCCUACCAAGGAUUGCCCAAGAUUGACAUCGAGUAGCUGCAUUGUGAUUGUGGUUCUCCAGCUUGUAGAUGAAGUCACCAAAAUGGUUGCCCUGCAUAUAAUUGAUACUCUGUUGAGUAUCAGUGCCCUUUGGACAGAUCAUCUCUGAAAAUACCAGACUAGAGCUCCUGCUCUGGCUACUCAUGUGUUGGUGUUGAUCACCCAUGGUUGCUCCCCUCUGGAACAUCAUCCAAAGCAAGCAGGUGACUCAAGGCUGGAGGAGUUAUAGAACGACCUCACAGAGCAUGCAGGACUACUCUUUCCUCACCUGCUCAGUCUACUCACUUGAGUCUGACUCACAGAGCCAGAAGGAUGGAAAAUCCUUCAUCAACUUUGAUUCAGAGGAAGAAAUACUCUAUCCCCACCCUGGAACCUGGGAUUACUCACUGAAAGAGUGUCUGAGGUUAUCUCCUACUAUUGGAAACUUCACCAUACUACUUUUGAGAAGACAUGGGAAGAUUUAGCAGUUUAUAAUUUAUAAUCCAGCCCUCAAAAUACCGGGAAAGUAUGUCUUUAGAGAGCUUUAUAAAUAAGCCUCAUAUAGGGUUUAUGCCCAGCCUGGAAGUUUAAUGGAAUGGUUUAACACUCACAGACGAUUAUUGGGCUGAUAUGCUUCAAAUAAAUUCCCUCUUCUGUGAUAGUAACA